GAUGAAGAACGUAGCGAAAUGCGAUAAGUAAUGUGAAUUGCAGAAUUCAGUGAAUCAUCGAAUCUUUGAACGCACCUUGCGCCCUUUGGCUAUUCCGAAGGGCAUGCCUGUUUGAGUAUCGUGAACACCUCACCUCUCAUGGUUUGCCAUGAUGAGCUUGGACUUUGGGGGUUUUGCUGGCCUUUGGUCGGCUCCUCUCAAACGGAUCAGCUUUCCAGUGUUUGGUGGCGUCACGGGUGUGAUAACUAUCUACGCCUGUGGUUUUCUGCCAGAUAACCUUCAGCGAUGGAGGUUCGCUGGGGCUCAUAAAUGUCUCUCUUCAGUGGAGACAGCUUUUUGGACGUUUGAUCUCAAAUCAGGUAGGACUACCCGCUGAACUUAAGCAUAUCAAUAAGCGGAGGA
RNAcentral lists this unclassified non-coding RNA (402 nucleotides) under soil metagenome. RNAcentral describes it as "partial contains 5.8S ribosomal RNA, internal transcribed spacer 2, and large subunit ribosomal RNA". The stretch from base 1 to 121 matches the Rfam family "5.8S ribosomal RNA", at positions 35 to 154 of the family's 154-position model. The record is from RNAcentral.